Long non-coding RNA from Ostrea edulis (European flat oyster), 528 nucleotides. RefSeq lists it as uncharacterized. The record is from RefSeq and is a predicted model, not a curated record. NCBI's taxonomy places the organism in Eukaryota, Metazoa, Mollusca, Bivalvia, Ostreida, Ostreidae. The transcript is spliced from 3 exons.
UCCUCGCUUGGAAUAUGUACUUCGUAAAAAAUAUAGCUUUCUUCUGCGGACGUAGUUAUGCACAUGUCUAGAAAUUAUCGUGAAACAGUCUAUACCGGAAAGAACUUAAUGCAUUCACGUGAUCUCUGCGUUCUUUGUAUAUAAGGAAUAAUUUCUCUUCCAGUUUCCAGAAACAGGGAAAUAGUCAGUAGAGAGAUGGAUAAAUUUCUAAAGUGUGUUGUGGGUGUAAUUUUGCUACUUUCCCUUUGUUACUCAGAAGUCACUUCAUUGAAUACUACCAGUGUAGCAUCAGGCGGAAAUGGAGGAACUGCUGUCACUGGAAGUAUGGUGAUCGUUGCCAUAGUUAUGACUUUGGGAAAUCUGAUUAUAAACUACUAAUACAGAAACUUUAAUGACUGCGCUAUUCCGAUACUCUAACACAUCGAAACAAUGACUAACACCGAUGGAAUAAAAUCAAAGAAACAUGACCACUGUUACAAUCUUUAGAAGAUGUUUUCUUGAACCUUAAUAAAUUGGAUUUCUCUUAAA